Long non-coding RNA from Nothobranchius furzeri (turquoise killifish), 2272 nucleotides. RefSeq lists it as uncharacterized. NCBI's taxonomy places the organism in Eukaryota, Metazoa, Chordata, Actinopteri, Cyprinodontiformes, Nothobranchiidae. The record is from RefSeq and is a predicted model, not a curated record.
GACGUCGACAAAGGGGGGAGUCGGUUGUCAGACAGUAGAAGAAGAGCUCAGGCUGGAGGAGACACAGAAGCUGGAGGAUUGAGGAUGGAGUCAGGUCAGAACCAGAGCGCUCUCGUGUCCACAAGGACCAGAGUCACGCGCAGAAAAUACGAAUACGUUAAAAACCUUAUGGAAAAUUGGUCUCCGCGUGAAGACGAGGACAUUUACCUCCAGAGUUUCCCGAACAGAUCCCUCCAGCAUCACAUCGAUCUGCAGCUGUGUGUGCGUGCGUGUGUGUGUGUGUGUGUGUGUGUGUCUCAGAGGGAGUCUGUUUCUGUCUUUGGUUAUCUAGCUGUAUGAGUUUUAAGUACCUGUCAUAAAGCUAGAUAACCGAAAGUAGAAAUGACUUCCACUAAUACCAGACAGAGGAGAGAGAGAGAGCAGAUCCUCUGGUGGAUUCUGGCAAAAACAGAAAGGGCAUGUUGUGAUCUGUGGGGAGUACCAGGAGGAAACCCGCACAUGCAUGGGGAGAACAUGCAUGCAACUCCACGCAGAUUGUUUGCAGCCAAGUUUCAAACUUGCAACCUUCUUGCUGCGAGGCAACAGUGCUAACUGAGCCAACAUGCAGACCAACUUAAUCAACUAAGUAACAUUAAUAAAGGGACUCUUGGUUUAUUAAUGCUUAAUAAUGUACUAAAUAACGUUAAUAAGAGUCAUUUUGUUUAUUAAUGCUUAAUAAUGAACUAAGUAAUGUUAAUAAAGGGACCCUAUGUUUAUUAAUGCUUAAUAAUGAACUAAGUAACAUUAACAAAGAGACCCUUUGUUUAUUAAUGCUUAAUAAUGCACUAAGUUACAUUAAUAAAGAGACACUUUGUUUAUUAAUGCUUAAUAAUGGACUAAGUAACAAUAAUGAAGGGUCACUUUGUUUAUUAAUGCUUAAUAUAGAACUAAGUAACAAUAAUAAUGGGUCACUUUGUUUAUUAAUGCUUAAUAAUGAACUAAGGAACAUUAAUAAAGGGUCACUUUGUUUACUAAUGCUUAAAAUGCACAAAGUAACAUUAAUGACUCUUAUUGUAAAGUGUUACCAAAUGUUUCAUUUAAAUAUCCUUUAUUGUUGUAUUUCACAAUGAAAUUGAUGAAUCAUCUUUCCUCUUAGGCGUUAUAAAACAAAAUAUAACAAAACAGCAAAUUAGCAUGUAAAUCCACUAAAUUGAGUGUACUAGCCUGUAUUCUGCAGUCUGAUAGGGAUAAAACUGUCAUUUUUUGAAAAUGCUUUUGGUCAAAAUGAUCUUUUAGGUUCGGCUCUAAACUGUUCUGCCUCAGGAAUAAUCUAACAGGCUCCUUCAGCGCUUUAAAACAAUCUUUAUAUAAUAAAUUAAUUAGAAAAGAAAACAGGUUUUGAGUUGUAACCUUGUUUGGAUAAAAGAUCUUUGUUAAACCCUCUAAUAAUGGAGCUGAAGAGCAGGAGGUUCUGGAGGCCUCUGGGAAACAAUGGGGUUCGGGCUGUCCUGCACAACUCAGUACUUCAGCUCUGUGCGGCGGACGCCAUUAAAGCCUAAAGAGCACAAAGUGAGAUGAGUUUCCAUUCAGUCCCUUAACUAGGCCACUGCUGCAGAGCUCUCUGUCGGCUCGGCCUAAUUGCUUCAGAUACAGGAGAUGUGAAAAGUCUGUGGUCUACGUCUCCUUCCUCUGGUGUCAAGAGAACACCAGAGCGCCUCCCAACACACUGGAAUCAAAACACUUGUGUGGGAUUGGUCCAGAGCAUCCCUGGUUGGUGCCCAUCAUGGUGGCGACUGCGACCAGGAGGAAUUAUGUGUAGUUCUAAAAGUUAGAUUUUUUAGUUUAAAAUCAGCUUUUUUGUUCUGCUUGCUUUAGUUUGCACCUGGGAAAUCCUCAAAAGGGAAAACAAAGAUGGAAGUGAUGGAAAACCAGUUCCAGUGCAGUGAUGUCAUCUGCACCGCCAGCGGACCCCCCCCCCCCCCCCCCCCCCACACACACACACACACAUGCAAGUACCUUCCCUGGAUUCUCGGAUUGUACGAGGAGCCAUCUUGGGAGACGUUUUUGCUGCAGCGCUUAAAAUGGCAGGGCUGGCACUAGAGAAACCCUGAUCAUCUCUGAGGACCAACACUCAACAAACCUCCUCACCAGACGGACGGGACUGAACAGAUUAGGAGAUUAUUUUGCACGAUGAAAAUGCACAAAUUAAGAUGUAUCAUCCCUGAACUUCAAAUGCUGCAAAACAUGAACAUUUAGUUGCAUAACUUUAGAUAAAAACUCAACAAAGCCUCCA